CCCCGGUCGUUAUAUACGCCCCUCGAAUUUACGUAAGAAACAAAUGAAUGUCGCUAGACUUUAAGCAUCAGUUGUACCGUCGAACGCUGUCAAGUGUGGUUCUACAGUCGCUAACAUUGUGGGUUUCUGUUGCUCAGUUCCAGGUUGAUUCUAUUUUUACCUGUCAAGCGAGACUGCGACGAGGGAAUCGAUUGAAGCCACAACGGAAACUCCUUGUACGUUAUUAAAAAGGAUAAUGGUGUAAUGUCUUACCAACUUGCACAUCGUCUCUCCCAGGAUCCAAGCUGCAACAUGCACUUUGAUGCACUUAUCCCGACAUGAAGGAAAUUAGUGCAACGAUUCGAAAGUGAUGGAUGCACACGGACAGACAACAACUCGUUUAUUUUGAUUUCGUCGUAGACGAAAUCCAUCGUCAACUGUCUGUGUUUUGUUUAACAACUGAACUGAUUCGAGGGCAAUGUUUGACAGGGAUAAACGUCCAUGACUAAAUCUACCGGUGCCGAAUCAGGAGGGGGAAAAGUAGCAAAGGAAGUCUGAGAGGGGAGUUGAAAGUGGAGUGUCGUGACGGCGCGUGAGUGGCGUUUGAGUUAUUAUAGCAAACUACAGCUCGAUAACGUGAUAUCCUAUCGUAGCACUCACAUCUAUCUACAGCCUUACAUCUUUGAUUUGCGGAUAAUUUGAUUAGAUUUACGACUUGGGCUAAUUGAAAUUGACGUUCAAGAACUGUCUUGUUUAUGCUACCUGAAAAAUUGUCUGGAAGAAGGGUUAAGCCAUCUCGUUAAGUUUAACCCACGAUGGAUUACAUAACGACGCCACCCGCCAAGAAACAUAAUCCUUACAUCACGCUGCGCAACUAACGACCUCGACAAGAGAACGCUUCCAUAUUAACGUCACAAUUCAGGAAAAUGUCAGCUAUUAUGUUUAACAAAGUUUCUCGAUUCAACUACUCUGACAAGUUAAGACCAUCCUGCACUCAUUGCCUGGCUUUUUUCGUUUUUGUGUAAAGAUCACAUUACAACAGCCCUCAGUCUAAAUUGCUGUACAAUCAAUCUGACGGGGAGCGUGAGAUCGUCGGCAAUCAAAUUAGGAUUCUUUGAAGAUCUAAUGGAUAAGCAGGUGGUUUUGUGGUCGUGGGAACCGUAACGUGUGAGGGCUAAUGCUCUUAUUUAAUGGCAUUUAUUUUUAGUGUUUUCCUUUUCUUUAGAGUGGGCUGAUGCAGCGAUUUUUCCCGAGUAACAAAAUUGGAUGGAAGAAAACGUCUUAUAAACCGGUAAUAAGUCCUACAGAUAAAAGGGGUGAUUUAGCCGUCAUAGUUACAUGUUAUAGUUGACGAUGACAUCUAGGUCUUUUCAGGCAGGGGAAGUUGAGGGGGGUAUUCUCUUUUCUUAGAGGGAAGCGGACGACUACUGUGCAUUGAAUGGAUGUAUUAUGUUUGGAAUGGAAGAAGUCGUACAAGUUAUUCAAUAAGGGAAUGAAAAAGACGGGGAAUACUGCAUAUUUUUUAUUUUAUCUCCUUCCCAAUUUUCAUUUCCGCCGUCUUGCAUUCGUACCACUCUCUACAUGCCAUUACUUUUGUCGUAGUGCUUGAAAAUUGUAUUGCGAAGUCGGAUUUCUAGAUGCUCGCAUUCUCCGGCCUGAAUGUUAGUAUAGUUUAUAUCCCAUAGUCAGACGUGUCAAAUCCGACCGCAAUUCCUCCCUCUCCCCUCCUCCGUAACACCACUAAAUUUCCCGAUAGCCGGAACGUGAAAAAGGAACUGUCAUUUGGAGCCAAAGUAUGUUUGGAUUUGGACAAAUCGUUGGUUUGAUGCGUUCGACGAAGUGAAGCAAUCCUUUCUAACGAAUUUGUUGAUGUAUAUUUUUAAAAAUUCGUCCUGAGUUUGGCAAGAAUUACUUUAAACAUUCACUUUGUUUUUCAUGUCACAUCGGUGACGCUGCUUUGAUCUAUGUGAAAAAUCCAGCUACAAGCUUUACUCGCAUGGCCAAAACAGAAAUUCGAGUGGGUCUUGGACAAUUUACAUCGUGGGCUUUAUUGAAUUCUUUGAACUUUUAAACUGAAAAAUCCCUGGUUCGAUGGGAACGUGCAAUGAAAUCCUGGACAGUUGAGGUAAAAAUAAUAUGUCGCCAUUCUAAUCUUUUUUUCCACCCACGUAUUGUGUGUAUGUGUCUGACAGUUUGAAAAGCGGGGAAAAACUCAGCGAAGUAUUAAAGAAACGACUACAAGCUAUGCAAAUACUUUAUAUAAUGUAAGAGUUGUGUGUUAUUCUUUUCGGUUUUGUACAAAAACUUAUCGCUCGACAUUGUUAUUCCCUUUCUUAUAACAUGUUUUUUUUAUUGUUAAUUAGGUUCACCAAAAAAUAGAGGCUGAAAGACUGUUGUGAUGUUAACAAACCGGACGGCAAUCUGUUGACAAGAGGGUGGAAACUUGCGAUCAAUAUUGGGAUAUCUGCGUUUUCGUCAAGUGACGGCGGGAUGGAAAGCUCAGUUCUCACAUGUCAUUGAAUGCCAACAUUUGAACACUACAACAACCGAACCCUUUAUUUCCGUCUUUUUUUACUGCCAACAAAAGCCUUAUGCCCUGCGGACGCCAUCAGUAGGCAUUA
Long non-coding RNA from Daphnia carinata, 2600 nucleotides. RefSeq lists it as uncharacterized. Lineage: Eukaryota; Metazoa; Arthropoda; Branchiopoda; Diplostraca; Daphniidae. The transcript has 6 exons. The record is from RefSeq and is a predicted model, not a curated record.